CUGAGUUCCCUCAUGUCAGAUUUGAUACAUUGCAACAGAGCAAAUCUUGGAAAACUCUAAAUAUGGACCCCCAAAAGCUUUGCCAGGGAGUGUCCAACGCAGUCCAUAAACAGGAGAAAAUCAACAACGUAAAAAACUUUGGCAACAGACAGGUACCACUCAAACACUAAAUCCCUUCAUGAUUGCUGACACCGAGAUGCCUCUAAAAGAGAUUAUACCUUCCCCAACAGCAAAAGAUGAUCCCCAUUAGCAAAAGGCUCAAUCCAGUUAAUCGCCUGUCACCCAGAAAAGAAGGAUAGGGAUGAAUAACCAUCACUGACCACUGCCACGAACUUGCAACCGCUUCCUCUCCAGUUCAAGCACUUUCUUCACCCGCUCAUUGGCAGCAGG
This 390-nucleotide unclassified non-coding RNA is filed under the name Hevea brasiliensis (rubber tree). The record is from RNAcentral. Lineage: Eukaryota; Viridiplantae; Streptophyta; Magnoliopsida; Malpighiales; Euphorbiaceae.